This 412-nucleotide ribosomal RNA is filed under the name Staphylococcus delphini. RNAcentral describes it as "bacterial SSU rRNA". It matches the Rfam family "Bacterial small subunit ribosomal RNA", at positions 1 to 402 of the family's 1533-position model. RNAcentral also lists the same sequence under 1 other name. The record is from RNAcentral. Lineage: Bacteria; Bacillati; Bacillota; Bacilli; Caryophanales; Staphylococcaceae.
UUUAUGGAGAGUUUGAUCCUGGCUCAGGAUGAACGCUGGCGGCGUGCCUAAUACAUGCAAGUCGAGCGAACAGAUAAGGAGCUUGCUCCUUUGACGUUAGCGGCGGACGGGUGAGUAACACGUGGGUAACCUACCUAUAAGACUGGAAUAACUCCGGGAAACCGGGGCUAAUGCCGGAUAACAUGUUGAACCGCAUGGUUCUACAGUGAAAGACGGUCUUGCUGUCACUUAUAGAUGGACCCGCGCCGUAUUAGCUAGUUGGUGGGGUAACGGCCUACCAAGGCGACGAUACGUAGCCGACCUGAGAGGGUGAUCGGCCACACUGGAACUGAGACACGGUCCAGACUCCUACGGGAGGCAGCAGUAGGGAAUCUUCCGCAAUGGGCGAAAGCCUGACGGAGCAACGCCGCGU